UUCUUUGUGUAUAGAUUUAUGUGGGUAUAUAGAAGUGACUGCAUCUUGCUCUUUUCAGUUGUUGCUCAUUUUCUAGAGGUAUUCAGAUAUCUCCCAUCGUAAGAGAUUUUUAUAUUAACCUUUUUAAAAAUUAGAAUCCCCAGAGUGGUUUUUUUUUUUUGAUGUAUUGGUAAGUUACUCUUUAGGUCCUUUCAUUCAGGCAUGUUCUAUCCGGUUUCUCAUUUCCUAUCCAC
RNAcentral lists this long non-coding RNA (233 nucleotides) under Bos taurus (domestic cattle). RNAcentral's name for it is "long non-coding RNA NONBTAT018518". Lineage: Eukaryota; Metazoa; Chordata; Mammalia; Artiodactyla; Bovidae. The record is from RNAcentral.